This 223-nucleotide ribosomal RNA is filed under the name uncultured bacterium. RNAcentral's name for it is "partial 16S ribosomal RNA". It matches the Rfam family "Bacterial small subunit ribosomal RNA", at positions 524 to 743 of the family's 1533-position model. The record is from RNAcentral.
UACAGAGGGUGCAAGCGUUGUUCGGAAUUAUUGGGCAUAAAGGGCGCGUAGGCGGUGCUGUAAGUCUGUAGUGAAAUCUCUGGGCUCAACUCAGAGUCUGCUAUAGAAACUGCAGUGCUGGAGUGUGGGAGAGGUGAGUGGGAAUUCCCCGGGUGUAGCGGUGAAAUGCGUAGAUAUCGGGAGGAACACCUGUGGCGAAAGCGGCUCACUGGACCACAACUGA